GACAGCAAUAUGAAGGCCAGGCUGAAGACUUUGCCGGAUUGGCUGAGAGGUGGUGCAUGGCCGUCGUCAGUUCGUACUGUGAAGCAUCCUGUUAAGUCAGGCAACGAGCGAGACCCACGCCCACAGUUGCCAGCGUACUCUCUGGAGUGACGGGUACACUGUGGGACCGCCGCUGCUAAAGCGGAGGAAGGAAUGGGCAACGGUAGGUCAGUAUGCCCCGAAUAUCCCGGGCUACACGCGAGCUACAAUGGUUGGUACAAUGGGUAUCUACCCCGAAAGGGGACGGGAAUCUCCUAAAACCAAUCUUAGUUCGGAUUGAGGGCUGCAACUCGCCCUCAUGAAGCUGGAAUCCGUAGUAAUCGCGUUUCAACAGAACGCGGUGAAUACGUCCCUGCUCCUU
This 400-nucleotide ribosomal RNA is filed under the name uncultured Methanosaeta sp. RNAcentral describes it as "bacterial SSU rRNA". It matches the Rfam family "Archaeal small subunit ribosomal RNA", at positions 938 to 1338 of the family's 1478-position model. Lineage: Archaea; Methanobacteriati; Methanobacteriota; Methanomicrobia; Methanotrichales; Methanotrichaceae. The record is from RNAcentral.